CUGUAACCUCUCAGAGAGAAGCUGUGAAGCUCUGUCCUCAGUCCUCAGCUCUGUGUCCUCUUGUCUGAGACACGUGGACCUGAGUAACAACGACCUGCAGGAUCCAGGAGUGAAGCUGCUGUGUGAUGGACUGAAGAGUCCUCACUGUUCUCUGGAGACUCUCAGUCUGUCAGGUUGUCUGGUCUCAGAGGAAGGAUGUUCUUCUCUGACCUCAGCUCUGAACUCCAACCCCUCCCAUCUGAGAGAACUGGACCUGAGUAACAAUGACCUGCAGGAUCCAGGAGUGAAGCUGCUGUGUGAUGGACUGAAGAGUCCUCACUGUUCUCUGGAGACUCUCAGUCUGUCAGGUUGUCUGGUCUCAGAGGAAGGAUGUUCUUCUCUGACCUCAGCUCUGAACUCCAACCCCUCCCAUCUGAGAGAACUGGACCUGAGCUACAAUCAUCCAGGAGACUCAGGAGAGAAGCUGCUGUCUGCUGGACUGAAGAGUCCUCACUGGAGACUGGACACUCUCAG
Solea solea (common sole) is the source of this 513-nucleotide long non-coding RNA. RefSeq lists it as uncharacterized. The transcript has 3 exons. Lineage: Eukaryota; Metazoa; Chordata; Actinopteri; Pleuronectiformes; Soleidae. The record is from RefSeq and is a predicted model, not a curated record.